RNAcentral lists this ribosomal RNA (253 nucleotides) under uncultured bacterium. RNAcentral describes it as "partial 16S ribosomal RNA". It matches the Rfam family "Bacterial small subunit ribosomal RNA", at positions 524 to 776 of the family's 1533-position model. The record is from RNAcentral.
UACGAAGGGGGCUAGCGUUGCCCGGAAUCACUGGGCGUAAAGCGCACGUAGGCGGAUUGUUAAGUCAGGGGUGAAAUCCUGGAGCUCAACUCCAGAACUGCCUUUGAUACUGGCGAUCUCGAGUCCGGGAGAGGUGAGUGGAACUGCGAGUGUAGAGGUGAAAUUCGUAGAUAUUCGCAAGAACACCAGUGGCGAAGGCGGCUCACUGGCACGGUACUGACGCUGAGGUGCGAAAGCGUGGGGAGCAAACAGG